RNAcentral lists this non-coding RNA (238 nucleotides) under Secundilactobacillus similis. Its description in RNAcentral is "Lactobacillus similis T-box sequence". It matches the Rfam family "T-box leader". From Rfam's summary of the family: Uncharged tRNA acts as the effector for transcription antitermination of genes in the T-box leader family. T-boxes are found upstream of many aminoacyl-tRNA synthetase genes and some amino acid biosynthetic genes usually in Gram-positive bacteria. The record is from RNAcentral. Lineage: Bacteria; Bacillati; Bacillota; Bacilli; Lactobacillales; Lactobacillaceae.
UAGUAAGCGAUGAAAAGAUGAGUAGUCGAGUUAACCUGUUAAGAGAGCUGGGGGUGCUGAAAACCAGUCAGGCGAAUCGAUGAAGAUGGUCUUCGAGUAAACUUAGCUGAGUUUUAGACGAGGUUAGGUUGGGUAAUGCCCAUUAACGCAUUGAAGUUCAGCAACGUUGGACUUUAAGUUGCCUAGUGUGAGCUAGGUAAAAAGUUAAGGUGGUACCGCGAGAAUCGUCGCCCUUGAA